RNAcentral lists this small nucleolar RNA (73 nucleotides) under Opisthocomus hoazin. Its description in RNAcentral is "Small nucleolar RNA SNORD103/SNORD85". It matches the Rfam family "Small nucleolar RNA SNORD103/SNORD85". Rfam says of the family: This family includes the snoRNAs SNORD103 (U103) and SNORD85 (HBII-251) . Lineage: Eukaryota; Metazoa; Chordata; Aves; Opisthocomiformes; Opisthocomidae. The record is from Rfam by way of RNAcentral.
UCUGGCAAUGAUGACACGCUUGCCCUCACUGAGAACACUGUUCGGUAAUGAGCCUCAAAUGAGCUGAGCCAGA